CACACACACACACACACACACACACACACACACACACACUUAUUUGUAAUCUCUAGAUAGUGUUCACAUAUAAUUUGCCAAAGUCACAUUAGUCUUGUAAUUGGGUUUCAUGUCAAAUAUAGUUUCAGGAUUGUUGCGAUACAAGUUGUUACUGAGACUGCAGGUCUAUCAUUAUUAUAUUAAUCGUUAGCUCAACACAUUAUUAUUUCUAAUAUAGUAAUGAUUCUUAUUAUUAGAAAGGAUUCUGAUAGGGAAUAAAGGCUGUUAGACAUCCUCACCUUGCUGCUCUCCUCCUCUCCUCCUCCUGCUUUACUCUCUGCCUCCUCCUUCACCUCCUCAGCUUUGUUCACGCUGACAAAAACAACGCAAAGUUUGCACAGUGGUUUCUCACCAUGGAAAUAUGUGAACAUACAUACGUAGAAAUAUACACAAGUAUCAUAUUUAUACUCAUGUUUCUCUCCAUGCAGCACGAGAGCUACACGUGUGUGUGCGUGUUCUCCACCUGUCUGCUAGCUCCGCCCCCCCCUCUCCUCCUCCCUGCUCAGCAGUCAGAGCUGUGACGUCUGGCAUCCCAACUCUCUCCAGGAAACACAUCUCAGGAUCGGCUCGCAUGGCGUUGUAUCUCUCGUAGCCUGGUGAGCGACGCACACAUUAACACACACACACAAACCAUCACACACACUCACGCGGCACAGAUGAAAUAAUAACCUCACCGUGUUUGUGGACUCCAAUGAGGAGAGACUUGUCAGCUUCAGUAUCCCACCAAGCAGCUGGGAUCUCUAUGUAGUCGAUGUCUGGUAGAGACACCUCCAGUUUACUACACACACACACACACACACACACACACACACAGUUAAUAUGUCCCAUCAGAAGAAGCAUCAUCCAUCGAGCAAGGUGUCGUCACAAGACUUUACCUGGCAGGUAUUCCAUCCAGAGCUUGAUUGGCAGCUUCACCCAACACCUCCACCUUCAGGUAGUAUAGCAUCCUCACCCUCAGAAGCACCCUAAGAACAGACAGCGAUGGGGGGGUUUAUUCUACAUCAGGUAGAUCGCCUGCCAUUCAAAAAUAUAUAUUGUAUUAUAUUAUAUUUUCGGACACACGGGUCACCACGACCAUCGACCGCGGAAGUAAACAGAGGUUAGCGGUGCUAAUUAGCGAUCGCUGCUUCCUAACAAAUGUCAGCGAGCAGAAGGGGACGGAUGCUUCUGCAGCACUGACGAUCACGUCCUGACGCACAGAUGCGGUUUGAAGUGAUAACGGUAAAAGUAAUUGUUAAUUGUCACAAACAGAGACACUGGAAAGUCAACUUUCAAUGGUUGAAACUGGCUAGUAUAUAGUUCCAAUUCUAAUGGUAUGCCAGCAUAUAUGAUAAAUGUAAGGUAUACUCACUUUACAUAUAACACAUCAUUAGAUAUAUGGCAUUUUAUGUGUGGGUAGAUCGACAUGACUUUUGAGCUGAAAAGGUGUGGGCGGCCCUGGUCUACAUGGUAGCAGAGGACUUCCCACAGUUUGUGUCAUGUCUACUGACUUGUUGCAGUGCUGUUUCAGGUGCUUUUUGUAGCUCUCAUCCUGCAGCAACACAUCCGGGUUACAGUGGACCAGCCAGUCCGCGUUCUUCGCCUCAGGAACGUUUAGCUGGUUCUUCAUCUUCUUCCCCUUCCGACCGCGAGGCACCAGAGCCGAUAAGCCUGCAGCCCAAAAGACAAACUCAUAAAUAGAAAAGUAAACUACAUAAUACAACACAGCAUCAGGGUUCAUACACAUUUUGACCAAUGGAUGACUUUUCCAUGACUUCAAACUAAAUUUCCAUGACCAAAAACUGAGAAAUCUUGGUGUAUACACGAAACUAACAAAGUGAAUUCCAAGGCAUACACAGUGUUUCCCGUACCAAUCAAUUAGGUUUUUUUCACGUUUACAAUGAUCCACUAUGGAACCAUGCUAUGCUAGCCAUGCUAUCUUAACAAUGCUAUCUUUACCUUGCUACCUUAACGAUGCCACGUUAACAAUGCUAGGUUAACCAUGCUAUGGGAAACAUGCAGCGCUAACGAUGCUAUGCUAACGAUGCUACGCUAACGAUGCUACGAUUACGAUGCUACGUCAACCGCAGUAGCAGGGAGACCAUCACCGGAGUGGUUGAGCAGGUCCUGGUCCUCGCCCUCCUUGGUGGGUGUGAUCAGGUCCCAGAUGAAGCUCUUGAUCUUGUCAUCUCCUUUGUAGUGUCUCAGGCAGUAAACCAGCAGAGCCCUGAAUCACAAACCACAUCGAUCCUUCACACCAGGGACAGACAAAUGUCUCCCCUGGUCUAAGGAACUCGGCCUUCUUACCUGCAGAUCGCCUCCAUGUCUCUCUCUGUCAGGUGCCACUUAAAGCGCCCGUGGUUCAUAAUGUCCUUCCAGCGCCCCCACCUGGAAACACACGGGACAUCGGGAUGACAGGAAGAAGUGUUUGAGUGUGUUUGUGUGUGUGUGUGUGUGUGUGUGUGUGUGUGUGUGUGUGUGUGUGUGUGUGUGUGUGUGUGUGUGUGUGUGUGUGUGUGUGUGUGUGUGUGUGUCUCCGUACCCAAAGAUGAGCAGGUUCUUCUCCACCCUGAAGCACUCGGCCCUCAGGUACCGGCGGCUGCGCUCCCCCAGGCGACGGGUCCGACACGGCCGGUCCUCGGAGUCGCUAUCCAGCUCGGAGAACUCCAUCAACUCGUCGUCCUCGAAGGAGUUGUAGUGGCGGGUCUGCUUCCUCACGCGAGGGGUGUCAAUCACCAGGGACUCCUGCAGGAAGGGGGGGGGGGGGGGUAUAGAAUGAUAUAGAAUGUUAUAUUUAAUGCUAAAUAUACCAAACUGCAAACUUAUGAGGUGACGAUGGGAGGGGUUCUUUAGAAUUGUAUGUGUGGGUAUAGUAUAACGCAAUAUAUAAUGUUAAGUACAAUUGUAUCUAUAAUUUUCUAUAGUACAUUAUAUAACAAGAAGGAGGAGAAGAGCGAAGGACACUUCUCUCCUCCUUCUUUAUGUUGAAUUCUAUUUAUUCCUUCUGGUUUCUGUCCUUGGCUCCUCUUUCUUAGUCUCCUUUCGCCCUCUCCUCUUGUAAUUUGUUUGUGUCUCCUUUACUCUUCUGGUUCCUCCUUCCUCUCUUACCUUUUCAGAAUUGGAGUCUAGCUCCACCUCAGCAAUCUUGGCCCAUUUCUGCCAGAAGUUGGGGUCGUCCAGAGAAAUGUCGGUCCUGUUGCCAGAUGAGAUGAAACUGGCCUGAGGACACGACAGAAGAAAGAUGUUGAAAGUCACGACAACCUUCUCAGAUAGGAGACUGUGUCUCCGGGUCUCAGUUCUGUUUCAGGACUCGUACCUUGGCGAACGUAGACCCUUUCCCCUCCGUCUGGAUGGUGAUGGUCUGGGUUCGUCUCUGAAGGAUCUGAUCGAUGUCCUCCUCGCAGAACUUGGACCCCUCGUCCUCCUCGUCCAUCAGCGCUCCGUAAGCUCCUUUCUUCAGAAGGUCCUCCACCUCAAGUUUGGAGAGCUGCUGCACCUGAAGGAGACACAGCGGUUAGCUUUGGAGGAGAGUCCUCCUGGCCAUCCUGGUCCUCCUGGUUCUCCUGGUUCUGCUCACCCCGUUGAGGCUUCCCUUGCGGUUUAUGUCCUGGAGGACGGCCUUGUCCAGGCCCAGCUUCAGGCUGGCCUUGUCAAACAUCUCCCUCUCGUAGGAGUUCCUGGUGAUCAGUCUGUAGACCUUCACGGCUUUGCUUUGACCAAUCCGGUGACACCGCGCCUGAGCCUGAAGGGAGGAAACGUACCAUUAAUAUCACCAGGAAGAGUCCCCACAAUGCACUGGGGGGUAACUGAAGUCUGUGAUUCUUCAUCCUGAAAUCUCUGUGAAACAUCUGUAAGCAGCUGCAGUUUCAUAAUUAAUUAUUUGUGUAAAAUAUUUUCUUAUGUUACUAAUUUGGAAUAAACUGUUAAAUGCAGUAAUUCUCAUCUUAAUAUGAUCAACUGAGCUUUUACUAAACUCGUUUUGACCCUUGACAGGUCUGAAAUACAAUAUUAUAUACAUAUGUAUAUAUAAUAUACAUCGUUGGGUCGUUCUGACCUGCAGGUCGUUCUGGGGGUUCCAGUCCGAGUCGAAGAUGAUGCAUGUGUCGGCGGCUGUGAGGUUGAUGCCCAGCCCUCCGGCCCGGGUACACAGCAGGAAGACGAAGCGGUCAGAGUCCGGCUUGCAGAAGCGGUCAAUGGCGGCCUGGCGCAGGUUCCCCCUCACGCGACCGUCAAUGCGCUCGUAGGUGUACCUGCAGAGAAGGAGCCGUUAUUAAGGUCCAUCGUUACGAUGGUCUCCUUCCCGCCGGAGCUCACCUCCUCUGGAUCAGGUAGUCCUCCAUGAUGUCCAAGCAGCGGACCAUCUGGGAGAAGACCAGCACCUUGUGUCCACCUGCCAGCAGUUUGGGCAGCAGCUUGUCAAUCAAAACCAGCUUCCCGGCCGCCUGGAUCAUGGCCUGCAGCUGGAAGUCCAGCGCAUCGGGACUGUGGUACUUCCUGAAGCUCUCCAGGAUCUUCUCCUCCGCCCCUGAAGAAGGUCAUCAAGAGGAGAAGGAGGAGACAUGAGACGUUUCAGGAAUUAGGAAUCAGGAAACAUUUAUUGCCAAAAUAUGUCAUACAUACAAGGAAUUUGACUUUAAUAAAGUUAAAGAUAUUUAAAAAAUAAAGUGCACUAGUGAACAAGUGACAAAGUGACGAGUGAGAAAUGACAGUAAAGUGACGUGUGCAGUGAGAAGGAGAGUGACCGGUGGGAUGUUAUAGUCAGUCAGUGGGGGACCGGCUCUGUUGAUGAGCCCGACUGCCGACGGGAAGAAACUGUUGGUGUGGCGGGAGGUCUUAGUCCUGAUGGACCUCAGCCUCCUGCCAGAUGGAAGGGGCACUAACAGGUUUUGUCCGGGGUGAGAGGGGUCGGCCACGAUCUUUUUAGCUGCUUCAGAGACCUGGAAGCGAACAAGUCCUGCAGGGACGGCAGAUUGCAGCCGAUCAGCCUCUCUGCAGAGCGGAGGACACGCUGCAGCCUGCCCUUGUCCUUGGCUGUGGCUGCAGCGUACCAGACGGUGAUGGAGGAGCAGAGGAUGGACUCCGUGAUGGCCGUGUAGAAGUGGACCAUCAUCGUCUUUGGCAGGUUGAAUUUCUUCAGCUGCCUCAGGAAGAACAACCUCUGCUGAGCCUUCUUGGUGAUGGAGCUGAUGUUCAGCUCCCACUUGAGGUCCUGGGUGAUGAUGGAGCCCAGGAAACGGAAGGAAUCCACAAUAGUGACGGGGGAGUCACACAGGGUGAUGGGGGAGGGUGGGGCUCUGUUCCUCCUGAAAUCCACAACCAUCUCCACUGUCUUCAGGGCGUUGAGCUCCAGGUUGUUUUCAGAUCUUCAGUAUAGGUCGUAGUGAUGGGUAUCCAUACUGGUACUCCUAUUGGUUCUGUUCCUUAUCGAUUGGUGUGGGUACUUAUUAAUACUCUUAUUGGUUGUACUUAUUAGUUAUGUUGUUUUAUUAAACCUCCUCUAAUCAAUGAUGUCAGUGAUCAGGCUUCAUUGAUCUUCAUCAUGCUGCUCCACAAGAAGAUGUUUUUUACUUGUGAGGCUCUGAUCCACUUUUGUGGAACCAGCUUCCACUUCCGGGGGGGCAGACACAGUCAGCUCAUUGAAGGUAAAGACUUUCCUCUUUAUAGCACUUAUAGUUAGGGCUGGCUCAGGUUAAUCUGGACCAGCCCUUAGAUAAACUGCUAUAAACCUAGACGGCCCUUCUAUAACAAUUCACAUCUCAUUAAUCUCACUAAUUCAGCUUCUUCCCCAUCAUGGUUCUAUCUGAACCCUGUUCCUUCCAUCACUAUUAUUGAUGGUAUUAUAUUAACAAUACUGUCAUCAUAAACACAGCCCACUUUGCUUAUUUCCUGAAGUUUUUAUGUUUUCCCUCUGUUAAGAUCGCAGGGCCCUGUUCCUCGUACGUGGCUAACUUUGUUAGCCGGAUCACCUUCAGGAUGAGAUGACCUAGUUCAGGCUUUUCGGUUUCGCAAAGCUGGUUUGUCUAAAUCACCACAGCAACACAUCGAAAAUCUUGAACCUGCUCCGGUGCAGCUUCAUCUGAGCUGCUGGAUCAGUUCAUCACUCCUCCGGAAAAAAAGGGCAGCUCUCUUCCUCAUUGAUGAAGGAGCGACAUCAGUUAGAUGAACGUUUUAUAGGGAGAGACUUCUCUGAGAUCAAAGACCCGUUUAGCCGCCAUGACGUCCUGUACGAGCGCUGCAGACAUCUGUAGCGCUCGUACAUUUCCCCGUUACGUGAUAAACACCACACGCUGCAGCCGAGCGUCCACCGCAGACUGUCUCACUUACGGUCUCCCACUGUCUCUCAUACAAUGUCUAACACACUCUCUCAUGUCUCCCACACUGUCUCUCGUACUGUACAUGUCUGGGUGGCGCAGGAGUAGAGACGGAGCGCUGGGAACCGCAAGGUUGGUGGUCCGAGAAUGUAAAAAGCUGUGAGUUAAAAGCGUCAGCUAAAUGACCUGUAAUGUGAUGUACAGUGUUGCUAUGCAGAGAACAUCUGGAAAAGCUGCUCUUCGUAAAGUUCAGUUGGUUUAUUUGUUGCUUAAUAAACCUCUGGAUGUUCCACAUUUUCUGAAAGAGUUGAGAUCAUUAUUCUCUUUGGAUGAUGACGCUCUCCUUUAACUUUAUUUGACGUUAUACGGUUUUUAAAAAAUCCUGUUUUCGGUGAUCGACUCUUCCGCCUUCAGACGCAAGACGUGCACGAUGGUGGUUUUGUGUUAAGGUGGUUACAUCCCCUGGAUUACUACUCUCUGUAUUGUACAUAUUUUAGGUUCUGUACACAUGGCAUCCAUUGCAGUCUGUCCAUCCCUGUGGUCGGGCUCCUCCUCGGUCUCUACCUGAGGUUUCUCCCCAUCAAAGGGUUGUGAGGGUUUUUGGGACAGAGGAUGUCGCUGGUGUUCAAACUGUAGCGCCCGCUCAGGCAAAUUUGUAACUUGCAAUUUUGGGCUAAACAAAAUAAAAUGAAUUCAAAAUGGAAUUGAUCACAUUUGAGAGAACCAGUGUGUCGACUGGAGAAACAUCUUCUCUUUGCGGAGGCUCACCUGUAAUGAGGUACGGGUGGUUGCAGCACUUGCGGAGCUCCAUCAUGGUAUUGAUGAGGUUGGGCAUGUUGUGCUGGUUGGCUCCUUUGGACAGGAAGGAGAAGUUCUUCUCUAAGAUGGCUCGGUAAUACUUCUUCUGGAUGUUGGUCAGCUCCACCUGCGAGAUGUAGUGAACCCAUGAACCCACAGAUCUACAGCUCGCUCUUCCAGGUCCCCCACACCCAAGCUUCACACCGUCUCCACACAAAGGUCCAUCCUGAGCCUCCAUCCCAAGCUCCAAAGACAUGAACACAGACACUGGACUCCUUUAAGAUGGAACUAAAACCGUUUUGACUUUGUGUUAAAUCACUGUCAGCUAUUUCUUUUUUUAAUAUAGUUUGUUGUUAUUACCAUUACUGGCUCGGUGGCACUUUUUACAAAUAAAACAACACUAUUGUGUUUUGAUCACAUCCUCCACAAGAAAAUCAUCAAAGAACACCGAAACACAUCCGCGAGAAGAAUGAAUGAAAGACUCAGAGAACCGUUUACUUUGUAGGAUCUCACCUCGAUGAUGGUCUCCUCUUUAGGAGCCAGGUUCUUUUCUACAUCGUCCUUCAGCCUCCUCAACAUCAUGGGCUUCAGAAUGGCCUGCAGCUUUUUCACCUGGAGCAGAUGAGAUCAGAUGAGAGAGUGAGACACUCAGCUGCUCACAUCUCAUGGAAACACUCCUGUAAAGAGCUCCACCUGUCGACAUGAGUAUUCACCUGCUCGUCUGUUUUCAGGUCUCCGAACUCUUCCAGGAAAGUGCUCUCUGAAGGAAACUGCAGCGGCUCCAGGAAGUUCAGCAGGCUGAACAACUCCUCCACGGAGUUCUGGAGAGGGGUUCCUGUCAGAAGAACCUUGUGUUCCUGUGGGAGACAGAACGUAGAACCCGUUGCUUCUCAUUAACUGAGAACAUGAGGUUUAUUCAAACAAAACAGCCUCUUCCCCUACUGACCAGGUUCAUAAGCUUCAGCCCUUCCAGCAGUUUGCAGUUCCUGUUCUUCAGGGCGGUGAGCUUCGUCGAUGACCACGCAGCGCCAGUGGAGCUUCCUGAGCUCGGGACAGUCGGCCCAUGAUCAUCUCGAAGGUGGUGAUGAGUCCGUGGAACUUGAGCACCCCGGGGAUAGUGUUUCCCUGAGAUGGUCAUAUUUAUACAGGAUAUAUCAUUACAAUUCUUCAGCACCCCGUCCCUCCUACAGAACCACGUCCCUCCUUCAGAACCACGUCCCUCCUACAGAACCACGUCCCUCCUACAGAACCCCGUCCCUCCUACAGAACCCCAUCCCUCCUACAGAACCCCGCCCCCUUUAGAACCCUACCUGCACGUCUCUGUAGAACAUCUCGUACUGAUGGAUCAUCUGCCGGCUGAUCUGGGAUCCGUGGUAAACAAUGACGUUCAUGGGGGUCCAGGUACGGAACUCCCUCUCCCAGUUUGUGAUGGUGGACAGGGGGGCGAUGAUGAGGAAGGGGCCGCGGAUCCCCAUGCUGAAGAUCUCAAACAGAAAGGUGAUGGACUGGAUCGUUUUUCCUAGACCCAUCUCAUCCGCCAGUAUGCAGUUCUUCCUGGAGGGGAGACGGAGACAGAGUCUUUAACCAGAAGACGGGUGGAGACACAGCUGGUCACACAACACAAAGAGAAGCAACGGUACAAACUCACAUGCACUAAAAAGCACGCUCACGUGCACUAGCAUGCAUCAAAAGGCCAUGUGGUGCAUUCAUUUAAAUAUCAGAUUAUUUGUGGAACUGAUGUGUAGAUUUUAGAUUCAUUUUAUAAUUAGUUCCCCAUAAUAACUAAAUGUAAACUAAUGUGUGUGCGAGAGCAGCACUCACCGGUUGUACCAGUUGAAGAGUAACCAGUUCAUUCCCUCUAACUGGUACUCUCUGAGCUGGUUCCCAUUUCUGAAAUCUCUGGUGUUGUUCAGCUUCUGCCACUUCUCUGGAGGAGGACGAUCCUGCAACGCAAGCACGUGGAAACCUUUUAUCAGAUAUGAGGAGCGGGCAAACCAUCAGACUGUAGAGCUCCUGGAUUCUUUGGGUUCCAUCACAAAGGAGAUUAAAUAGCUGUAGAGUAUUAGAUUCGAUUAUUAAGGCUUCCCUUCCCCACUGGACCACGAGGAGACACCUGAAGAGGUUUUAAGGGAAAACAGUAGAGAACCCAAAGACGUUGUCGCUGUUUCCCUUGGGAUGUUUUCGUCACUUGAUGCAAUAGCUAUCUAUUUAUCCCGCAUCUUCUCAACAGUUCUAUCAGGUCAGUUGAUGUGUUGAGGCGUUUUAGCAGCUGGUUCUCCUGCUGGAGGAGCAACCCAGUCACAACUCAGUGUUGAGAAAGAAACCCAGAUGUUUUAUUCCGUAGUUUUCAGCUUGUUCUGGUUCCACUCACCAUGUGUCUGAGGUCUGCUGGCAGUUUCUGGAUGUGCUCAAACUCUUUGAUCUUCUCUGAAUCCAGGUCCUCCUGCAGCUCCCAGGUAGCCUCCUCGUAUGAGAGACUGCACCACUUCACCAGGUAGUGGGUGACCUCCUACAACAGCCCGCACAACACAUCCCACAGCGUUAGCAGAUGUUAGCUGGAGGUAGCGGAUGUAAGCACCAGGUGUUACCAGCUGUUACCAGGUGUUACCAGGUGUUACCUGGUCACCUUUGUGUUAUGUAAAGUUACCUGCUGUCAUCACAGCUGAUUUUGUGUGCUACCCACCUCUCCAGUCUCAGUGUCCGUGGUGACAGCCACCUCCAAGAUUCGGUCCACUUCCACAUAGUCCGGAUUAAAGAUGUCCUCAUCGGGCUGGAAGACGGGACAGAAAGACAACAAGACGAUGUUGAUUGAUUGAUUCCUCAUAGUGGAUCAAGUCAGAUAACAAUUUUAUAGAAUACAAAAUAAGCAAAAAACACCAGCGAUCAUUAAUGAAAUGUGUUCUUUAUUCUAACAGUGAUAUUUAUUUUGGUUUCUCCAUAUUGUUAUUGAGCCACUGUCAUUUAUUUGUGUUUGUGACUUGACUAGAGGAAGAGGGGGCUGUUGCACAAAAGUAGAAAACAGAAAUCCAGGAUUAGUGAAAAGCAGCUUGACUUAGUUUGAUCUUAAUCAGUUGCACGUUUGCCGAGUCGGGAUGAGGAGGAGGAGCUUAGUCCAUCCAGGUGCACACAGCUGGGAUCCGUGCACGUUCACGGCUUAAGUAGACCACGGCGUCCAUCACAGAGCUACUGAUGCACAGAUGGAGAAGACGCGCGCGGCAUAUUUGUCACCUGCUGAGCAGCAACUAAUUAUGGAAACUUCUGAGGAGGUGAAGCCUCUAAUAUGCAGAAAAGGGAAACCGGCAACUGUAAUUAAACAGAGAAAAGUCUGGCAGACAAUCGCUGACCGACUGAAUGCGGAAGGGUUUUAGUGCUGUUUGUGUGCUGGUGUCUUUAAGUAGCCUACAUGGAAUAUUCCUCUGGAAAUUUCUAAAAAAAGUUGAAAAAAAAGUCGAAAAAGUCUAGCUAGUAUUGAUACUUUCAGGUGUUGCUCUAUCUGCUGUAGUGAAACACUGAAGAACAAGAACACACUUUCCACAUUCGUUCUGAGCUUUGAUGAAGACAAAAGGGGUUGACAUGAUGGUUAUCCAUCAAGGAGUUGCCUUGGUUACGGCAGGUGAGAGUUACUGUGGGCUUUACAGACUGCAUUGGG
Molecule: long non-coding RNA, 10776 nt
Organism: Gasterosteus aculeatus aculeatus (three-spined stickleback)
Lineage: Eukaryota; Metazoa; Chordata; Actinopteri; Perciformes; Gasterosteidae
Source: Ensembl